GAUGAAGAACGCAGCGAAAUGCGAUAAGUAGUGUGAAUUGCGGAAUUCAGUGAAUCAUCGAAUCUUUGAACGCACAUUGCGCCCUUUGGUAUUCCAAAGGGCAUGCCUGUUGGAGCGUCAUUUGUACCCUCAAGCUUUGCUUGGUGUUGGGCGUCUUGUCUCUAGCUUUGCUGGAGACUCGCCUUAAAGUAAUUGGCAGCCGGCCUACUGGUUUCGGAGCGCAGCACAAGUCGCACUCUCUAUCAGCAAAGGUCUAGCAUCCAUUAAGCCUUUUUUUCAACUUUUGACCUCGGAUCAGGUAGGGAUACCCGCUGAACUUAAGCAUAUCAAUAAGCGGAGGA
This 341-nucleotide unclassified non-coding RNA is filed under the name soil metagenome. RNAcentral's name for it is "partial contains 5.8S ribosomal RNA, internal transcribed spacer 2, and large subunit ribosomal RNA". The stretch from base 1 to 120 matches the Rfam family "5.8S ribosomal RNA", at positions 35 to 154 of the family's 154-position model. The record is from RNAcentral.